RNAcentral lists this ribosomal RNA (433 nucleotides) under uncultured bacterium. Its description in RNAcentral is "partial 16S ribosomal RNA". It matches the Rfam family "Bacterial small subunit ribosomal RNA", at positions 29 to 507 of the family's 1533-position model. The record is from RNAcentral.
AACGAACGCUGGCGGCAUGCCUAACACAUGCCAGUCGAACGAGACCUUCGGGUCUAGUGGCGCACGGGUGCGUAACGCGUGGGAACCUGCCCUUAGGUUCGGAAUAACUCCCCGAAAGGGGUGCUAAUACCGGAUAAUGUCUUCGGACCAAAGAUUUAUCGCCUUUGGAUGGGCCCGCGUUGGAUUAGCUAGUUGGUAGGGUAAAAGCCUACCAAGGCGACGAUCCAUAGCUGGUCUGAGAGGAUGAUCAGCCACACUGGGACUGAGACACAGCCCAGACUCCUACGGGAGGCAGCAGUGGGGAAUAUUGGACAAUGGGCGAAAGCCUGAUCCAGCAAUGCCGCGUGAGUGAUGAAGGCCUUAGGGUUGUAAAGCUCUUUUACCCGGGAUGAUAAUGACAGUACCGGGAGAAUAAGCGCCGGCUAACUCCGUG